RNAcentral lists this ribosomal RNA (497 nucleotides) under uncultured bacterium. RNAcentral describes it as "partial 16S ribosomal RNA". It matches the Rfam family "Bacterial small subunit ribosomal RNA", at positions 28 to 507 of the family's 1533-position model. The record is from RNAcentral.
GAUGAACGCUGGCGGCGUGCCUAAUACAUGCAAGUCGAGCGAACGGACGAGAAGCUUGCUUCUCUGAUGUUAGCGGCGGACGGGUGAGUAACACGUGGAUAACCGACCUAUAAGACUGGGAUAACUUCGGGAAACCGGAGCUAAUACCGGAUGAUAUUUUGAACCGCAUGGUUCAAAAGUGAAAGACGGUCUUGCUGUCACUUAUAGAUGGAUCCGCGCUGCAUUAGCUAGUUGGUAAGGUAACGGCUUACCAAGGCAACGAUGCAUAGCCGACCUGAGAGGGUGAUCGGCCACACUGGAACUGAGACACGGUCCAGACUCCUACGGGAGGCCGCAGUAGGGAAUCUUCCGCAAUGGGCGAAAGCCUGACGGAGCAACGCCGCGUGAGUGAUGAAGGUCUUCGGAUCGUAAAACUCUGUUAUUAGGGAAGAACAUAUGUGUAAGUAACUGUGCACAUCUUGACGGUACCUAAUCAGAAAGCCACGGCUAACUACGUG